CAAAUAUCCGGAGCCAAACUCUGCGGAAUGUCCCUGAAGGCCCUAACACAGAGAAAGUAGGGCGAUUUUGAAGUCAGUGAAGGAAUUCACUCCCAAAUUCCCGUUUGGAGAGGUAAACCCACAGAGUCCAGAAUGGGGGGGGGCGGGGACAAAAGAUAAUGAAGUCUAGAAUUUAAACUUACCUAAAUGUGCCAUUGCCGGGCCCCUUAGCAGAGAGUGCUUUCGUUUCCCAAAGAUCGAAAAAUAAAGCUCUGACAGUUCAGACAUAACCUGAGAACAGGAUUUUGGCUAUAGGACUUUCCCAGGAUGAUGGGGAUGUGCUGUACCCAGAUGCUGCACUACCUGGCAUGCAGGGGGUGGGGAUUAGGAGAAUCACAGAAGGAUAAUUGCAAAACCAGCCGUCCAUAAAUGCAGGUAACCUACCUGUUUUCUAUGAAGUGAUGCAAUUGUAUUAUUUCUUAAAAGCCAUUUGGGUGGGAUACUGCAUGUUCUUUAUAGUUCUCCAAUGAAAAGGGCUGAAAAGAGGGGGAAAAACUUGAAUGGAUUAAAGUAGGUCAACCUUGUUAGCUCCAGGUUGGAUUUGGAGGGGGGGGGCUGUGAGCCACCUUCCUUCAAGUGCCCACCUCUUCAAGAGUGGAUGGGCAUUAGUGAUUCUCCUUGAUGACAGCAGCCACCAUUUAAAUUUUUCACAGCACCUGCUGAUGUAUAGCAUUCCUGCAGGGCGUUCUGGGAAAGAAGCUUUAUGGCUAGCAGCCCCAGCAGCCCAAGGGAGAUCAGGGGAUAACAGAUUGGAAGGGAGCUCAGAGGAAGCCUUAGUUCGGAGCCCUGAUGAUACCAGGAGUGGCUCAUAGACUCCCCAUUCCUGGUUCAAGUGGAGAAAGAGCAGGGCCAGUACCAUUCCUAUUUCAUACUUGAUUGUCCACCAAGAUAAUUUCAAGCAGGUGUCCCCAGUGUUUCUCAUCAGAAGGUCUGUCUCCACUAUAUAGAGAUGCAACUUUUAUGUGUCUUGGCACCAUCCUGUGGGAUUUGCCAGCCUGUAUCCUGUUGCAAGUUUUAACUAGAAGAAACCCUUUGACUCUAUGGGAUUUACACAAGUGUUUAUUAACCAUUCGGCAAGUGGGUGGGAAUGAUUCUAAAUUAAGAAAAAUGAUACGAUACUGGGCAUUGCUGAAUAAUAUAAAGAGUUCUGUACUUAAAAAAAAAAACUCUAAUGCACUCCUCUAAACAGAAUUCUCAGUCCUGGAGAUGCAUGAGUCCCAUCUUAAUCUGCUUUGUAUCUGAAUAUUUGCUGUGCAUGUUGGAACUGCUGUGCCACAAACUGGUUUGAAGGUUUCCUGAAACAAUGUGUUCUUAGAUUCUUGUGAGGAUUUGUAUGUUUCCAAAUUGGAGGGUAAUGUGAAUGGUUGAGACAAAAGACUACGACUGGGAAUGAGGGUCAACGUGUUGCGCCUUCAAGAAUGGGGUGGACUUUCAAUGUGUAGGCAAAGGUCCUGCUUGCUUCCUUCUUUCCACUUCUGUCCAGCAACUAUGCUGCCAUCCUUCCAUGAAUCCACCACGAAUCAGCAGCAGGAGAAGGCAUUGCAAGAUAACAGAAAAUAGAUCAGGUGGAAAAGAAGGAUCAUAUAAAGUGUUACUUUGACUUAUCUAAUCAAAGCCCUGAUGAGAAAGUCAGCCAUACAUCCCACGAUCGCACAUGCACCCAAUCCAAAGUGUAAUGAAAAAUUAGCGUAGCAACCUAAAAUGGAAAAGGAAGAACAUUCUAGAAUUCCAUCAGUCGAGUAGGAAAUGUAGCAUACUUUCUCUGCUGUGCCUGGAUGGGAAAUGUCUGCUUGAUCAGGUAGACAUAAACAAUCUGAGGAGUUCAGUGUAAGUGCUCCCCAAGGGCUCAGCAGCUGGAUUUCCUUGCACUAGUGUUUGCGCUGUCUAUCUUCUACUUUGGCUCCUUCCUUCCUUCCUUCCUUCCUUCCUUCCUUCCUUCCUUCCUUCCUUCCUUCCACAACAACUGCCACCAAAUUCCAACCCUCCAGUUUAGACAUUUCUACCCCCACCCCAAAUGCUGGGAUAAACCUCAAGGAUUUGAAUUUGUAGGGGGUGCCCUAACUGAUUCAAAGAUAACAGGAUUUCUGGAAAUUACUCGACAGCAGACCCUGAAAUGUGGUAUCAAAUAAAACUUAAAAAUUAGAAAACCUGGGGUUGUCCAAGUGUUGGAUUCUAGCUCCCAUCGCCACCCGCCAGCCUCAACCCAUUGUUAGGAGUUAUGGGAGCAAUCUUCCGAGAGCAUCUAGGUCAGUGGUUCUCAAACUUGUGUCCCCAGAUGUUCUUGGACUUCAACUCCCAGAAAUCCUGGCCAGCACAAAGUGGGCAAGGCUUCUGGGAAUUGCAGUUUAAGAACUUCUUGGGACCUCAGUUUGAGAAUGACUGAUCUAGAAGCAAAACAGCCUUCUAUUUGAGUACACCUUAUGGAGGUGCAUUUCUUUCACCUUUUAAGGAGACUGAUUAUCUGCAUAACCAAAGCAAAGCAAACAUCUGGUUUUCAUUUUUUCUUCUAGUUAGAUUCCAAGUGUUUUGUCACAUUCUUUCUGCAUUUUCCCCACUUCCUUUGACAUGACCUCAACUCCCUUCUGCCGUUGGAAGUGUGUCAAGCAGAACUUUUAGUUCUUGAUGUUUCAAGGAAGGGGUAGCUGGGGAAAUCCUGCUUCUUUACCUGAAUCACUUUUAACUGUAGCAGAUUACAAGCAAAGCAUUUGGAACUCAAUUUUACUUAAUCAGAGUAAAUAUGCAUAGGACUGUGCUGGCAAUCUAAAACACUAAAGUUUCUUUAAAAUCAACAAAGUUCCAUUUUCCAAUGUGAGUAACAGGCAUGAAGAGCCUGAUCCUGAUAAUUAUUGCAGUUGGAGGCAGGGUUAAAUCUCACAUGGAGCAUCAACCACAUCAUGCCAUGCCAGAAUACCAAUUCAAAUCAAGGGACCCACUCCUGAAAGUUACUAAGAUCGCCCAAAUCCAAGGCUCUUGAACUGCAAUGUACCGUUUUCCCCAUUGUCUUGUUUUCUUUGUAUUGCUUGUUGCUUAUUUUUUUGGUUUGUUUUUGCACAUUUGUCUUGAAAAUGAAGCGAACAAUCCAUAGCCAAAAGGCAAUAAAAAGCCAUCUUUUGAGUCCCAGGACUUUCAAA
Molecule: non-coding RNA, 3170 nt
Organism: Pogona vitticeps (central bearded dragon)
Lineage: Eukaryota; Metazoa; Chordata; Lepidosauria; Squamata; Agamidae
Source: RefSeq, a predicted model, not a curated record